Molecule: long non-coding RNA, 748 nt
Filed under: Brachypodium distachyon (stiff brome)
Lineage: Eukaryota; Viridiplantae; Streptophyta; Magnoliopsida; Poales; Poaceae
Description: long non-coding RNA (BDIS_LNC005402)
Source: RNAcentral
UGUGCAGGCAUGAUUUGGCUUAUAGGGUGCUCGCUUUCGGACAGCCCUGAUCAGGAAACUUUGGCCUCCCGCACUAUUUCGGAUAAGCUGACUUGCCGCACGCUUGGGACCCUAACCACCCAAAAAAAAACUAACAAAGGCGAAAAAAGCUACUACUGCUACUUUUUUUUAUUAUAAUUAUUUGGUACUAUCAUUUUGGUUGGUUAUUUUCAUUUUUAUUUUUCAUUAUCUGACAUGAAUAGUUUUAUACUCCGUAGUAGAGUUGUAUUAGUUUCAUUAUCAGUCUUUCCUUUGUCUUUUUUAUUCUUCUAGAUGCAAGGGACGUUGUUUGUCAUGAGUCUUAGACUCUUUAGUUUGGUUGGUUUUUAGUCUCGGUCUUGUUUUUCAGUUAUUUUAUAAAAUUCGUUUUGAGUUGAGUCUGAAGAUCAGUACGUCCAACAGUGGUCAAACCUGCACGUACGCUCGCAGGAACCGGUGCUGCGGUGCAUGCGGGGAUCGAGCGAAGGAUCAAAGGCACUGGCGUGGCGGAUUAGAAUGCUUGGUUUGCCGCGCAACACACGGACACUAUGAAAAGUAGUACUCCCUUGUCCGGAAAUUAGUGACGUGGAUUUAUAUAAAAAUCUAUACAAAAGUUUCGGGUGUCAUUGAAAUGACAAAAGUUUUGGAAAUUUUGGUUUUUUUUGAAUUAUUAAUAAUUAUGUAAAUUGAUCUGAAUUUUUCAGGUACAUAUUUCAAACCAAGAUCACCA